Molecule: long non-coding RNA, 1276 nt
Organism: Fundulus heteroclitus (mummichog)
Lineage: Eukaryota; Metazoa; Chordata; Actinopteri; Cyprinodontiformes; Fundulidae
Exons: 3
Source: RefSeq, a predicted model, not a curated record
UCUGUCCUCGCAGGUGUGACCCAGUUCCUGGUCUAACGUCUAACCAGAGGAUAUGAGCUGCUACCCUUUUUCCAACACAACACAAUGGUUGGCCUAUGUCUUGGAUGAUAACAAAGCUCCUGCUCUCUUGGAGCUUUGAAGGGCAAAAAUGUCCGCACUGUCGACAGCUUUGCGGUAGUGACCUGGUUACCCCCAUUCAGCAAUGAUCCUUGUGCAGCCUUACCCAUCAGUAUGAUACUUUGUCUGUCUAUAUAUGUAUGCAUAUGAAUCAUUCUUAUUUAUAUACACAGGUUGAUGUCGCAACCAAGGAUGUCCAGUUUUCCCUUUCUUUUGCAAAAAUGUGCUUUUGUUGUAGUUAGUCUACCUCUUGAUUCCGUUUGAUUUUACAGAUUCUCGAGCCAAAGUCUAGGGAAGUUUUACUACUAGACCCAAUAAACCCUGAAGAGUUUAGGAAUGGGAGCUACAGAAAGAUUUUCAGGUUUCAGGCUUUCAUGACAACAUGUUCCAGCUUCCAGCUGCUCUACUGUUCAGAAAGUUUUCAGGUUGUGCACGUUUUGUUUCAGCUUGACCAUCAUAGACACACUCCAGAGUUUUGACAUAUCUGUACACCGUUGAGGUAACAAUUUCAGAAGCAAAAAUAAUUGUCAUAAGAUAGCUUUAGUUUUUGAGUUGGCUACUUAUGAUUGCAUUCUGGUUUUGUCUUGUCUUGACGAUGAAAACAAUCUGAGUAACUGAUAAGGGAAAUAAAACUCUUAACCUUUCAGCUUUUGAAAACUGGAGUCUGUCACUCGUGAAGACCGUUGUGGUUAAGUGGCAGGUUCUGUUUGAGGCCACACAUUCAUGUUCCAGCCAGUCUGUGAUGCUUGUUUUUGUUAUAUAUACUGGUGCAAAAUUAUUUGGAUGGUAUUUGUGAGUGAUAAUUGUUGCUCCCUCAUCCAAAUAGUUAAAUUAGGGCUUGUUGAGCAGAACAACAGAAGUUGUUUUGUUAGUAUUAGAACUAGCUUGUAAAAGCAGCAACACUGGCUGUAACGUGACAAAGGCAGGGUCACUUCUGUUUUAAACCAUCACCCCUUUUUCUUCUUCUUCAAUUCCCCGUGUGAAACAUGCAGACUUAGAUUUCAUUAUUUAGUUUUACCACAGAGACUUGGCUAACAGCGUUUCACCAGGCCAUUCGACCACAAAAACAGCGAGCCAGUUGAAGGUACGACUUUAAGUUCUUGCCGUGUCAGCCUUCAUUUUUACACAGACGUGUUAUCACAGCGUUAAUAUAGAGAGG